GCUCAUCUUAGACAAGCACACGCGCACAGUGAUAGAGCGAGCGAGGGGCACACCUAUCUUCGGAUCUCCCACCCCCACCUACGCGCAUACACAUCGAGGGAGCCGUUGGCCCAAGGAUGCCGGCAAGGGAGUCUAGCGUCUCUCGCGUGGUGAGAGCAGUGGCGCGCGGUGACGGCGACUGGGCAGAUGUGCCGCCGUCACUGCGCAACGUCAUCGUGAUGGCACUAACGCAGUCUUCUGGUGCGCCGCUGCGCAGUGUGCAAGGCGGCGUAGGAGAUGCAUCGUACGCGGAUGGGGCCGGGCGGGCGCCCGGGCGCGUCAACGGGGCCUCCGCGACACCGCUGCUGACGGAGGAGGCGGUGCAGAGCAGCAUUGAGACUUUCGAGGAUGCGGCCUGGGUGCGGGAAGAGGCAGUGCGCAGCUACGCAGAGUUCCACAACAACGUCGAGUCGCUGCACGCAACCAUGCGCACGCAACUUCGGCCUGUGUGGCGGACAGCGAUGCAGCUGCGCCCUGACAUCCUCGCGGAUGUGCGAGACGAGUGGCGCCUCCGCCGACGUGACAGCAUUCCAGACGGCAUCCCGAUCCCUGCCGCCGCCGCGCAGCACAUCGCGCUGCAGGAGACCAUACUGAGUGAAGUGGAGGACACGCUGCAGGUGCUGCGCAACACGUCGGUCCGCUUCGCCGCGCAUUUCUUGUCGGAUGAGGAGAAGAUCUCCAUGGGCGCAAACCCCGCGUACCUGCGCGCGCCGGACAUAGACAAGGAAGUGGUGGUGUCGCGCUCGCAGAGCACUUCCACCUCGCCACAGCGCGCGCUGCCAGCCAGUGUGAUGUCAGUUUCCUCGUCUGCAGGAGCUGUGGCGAGUGCCCACAUAAAGCCUUCCGCGUCUAGUGCUGCUACUGCUGCCGUCCACACAACACGUGAGGGACACAGUCGUCGCCACCAGGGCAGCCAUGCGCAGCACCACCACCACCACAACGACGACGAAGCGGGGCUGGUGAGCUCCAGCUCGAACCGGCACGUGCACAGUGGCAAGUCCUCCUGUGCGAGCCGGGGCGCCGGCGACGAUCCGCUGUUGGAGGAGUUGCGCAAGCAGUAUCAGCUGCGCAUUAGGGAACUGAAGGCGCAGUGUGAGGCGGGAGCAAGCCGUCGAAGCGAGCACGGUGCAUCGCGAUCAGCGGCGGCGACGCCACCGCGGCGCGGUAAUCGGGCACGCGUCGCAGCGUCGAGAUCAUCGUCUCUACCUUCGAGGGCUUCAUCGGCGUCUGCGAGUGUAUUGACCAGCUCCAGCUCGACAGUGUCGCGUCGCUGAGGAGGGACGUGCGCGGAAGGGGCUGGCAGUACUCGGCUUCACGGGCGCCUUCAUGACACAUGUCCCUUAGUCUUCUCCUCCCACGUAACGCUGCCAUUCGAGGGGAAAGACCGCUUCGGCGAUGUUGAGGGUGGGUGGGUGGGGUAGCCGGUUGAAUGCCACGAUGCGCGUGCGCCUGUCACCGUCGCUCUCCUCCGCCUCCGUCUCCUGCAUUGCCUUCCGCAUGCUCACUGGCUUCCUUCUGUAUGUAUAUUUCCUGUUGUUGGCCUUCUUAGAUGCGAUCGUGGCGCCAGCCGUCGGCUCAUCGGCACACACCGCCUACGAGCAACACCGCCACCGCCCUCAGCCGCCCUUGUAUCGACACCACCGCAGCACGUGGGAGGGGGUGGUGAUAGGGGGAGGACAAGAAGCGCGCGCGCACAC
Molecule: unclassified non-coding RNA, 1736 nt
Filed under: Leishmania donovani
Lineage: Eukaryota; Euglenozoa; Kinetoplastea; Trypanosomatida; Trypanosomatidae
Description: gene:LdHU3.01.0150(CDS-product:hypothetical_prote in_conserved)
Source: RNAcentral